GUGCUCGCUUCAGCAGCACAUACACUAAAAUUGGAAUGAUACAGAGAAGAUUAGCAUGGCCCCUGCGCAAGGAUAACACGCAAAUUUGUGAAGUGUUCCAUAUUUCA
RNAcentral lists this small nuclear RNA (107 nucleotides) under Pseudonaja textilis. The record is from RNAcentral. Lineage: Eukaryota; Metazoa; Chordata; Lepidosauria; Squamata; Elapidae.